RNAcentral lists this ribosomal RNA (468 nucleotides) under uncultured bacterium. RNAcentral's name for it is "partial 16S ribosomal RNA". It matches the Rfam family "Bacterial small subunit ribosomal RNA", at positions 28 to 507 of the family's 1533-position model. The record is from RNAcentral.
GACGAACGCUGGCGGCGUGCUUAACACAUGCAAGUCGAACGGAAAGGCCCUGCUUUUGUGGGGUGCUCGAGUGGCGAACGGGUGAGUAACACGUGAGUAACCUGCCCUUGACUUUGGGAUAACUUCAGGAAACUGGGGCUAAUACCGGAUAGGAGCUCCUGCUGCAUGGCGGGGGUUGGAAAGUUUCGGCGGUUGGGGAUGGACUCGCGGCUUAUCAGCUUGUUGGUGGGGUAGUGGCUUACCAAGGCUUUGACGGGUAGCCGGCCUGAGAGGGUGACCGGCCACAUUGGGACUGAGAUACGGCCCAGACUCCUACGGGAGGCAGCAGUGGGGAAUAUUGCACAAUGGGCGGAAGCCUGAUGCAGCAACGCCGCGUGCGGGAUGACGGCCUUCGGGUUGUAAACCACUUUCGCCUGUGACGAAGCGUGAGUGACGGUAAUGGGUAAAGAAGCACCGGCUAACUACGUG